UAGGGAAUCUUCCGCAAUGGACGAAAGUCUGACGGAGCAACGCCGCGUGAGCGAAGAAGGCCUUCGGGUCGUAAAGCUCUGUUGUUAGGGAAGAACAAGUACGGGAGUAACUGCUCGUACCUUGACGGUACCUAACCAGAAAGCCACGGCUAACUACGUGCCAGCAGCCGCGGUAAUACGUAGGUGGCAAGCGUUGUCCGGAAUUAUUGGGCGUAAAGCGCGCGCAGGCGGUCCUUUAAGUCUGAUGUGAAAGCCCACGGCUCAACCGUGGAGGGUCAUUGGAAACUGGGGGACUUGAGUGCAGAAGAGGAGAGUGGAAUUCCACGUGUAGCGGUGAAAUGCGUAGAGAUGUGGAGGAACACCAGUGGCGAAGGCGACUCUCUGGUCUGUAACUGACGCUGAGGCGCGAAAGCGUGGGGAGCAAACAGGAUUAGAUACCCCUGGUAGUCCACGCCGUAAACGAUGAGUGCUAAGUGUUAGAGGUUUCCGCCCUUUAGUGCUGC
RNAcentral lists this ribosomal RNA (503 nucleotides) under uncultured Bacillota bacterium. RNAcentral's name for it is "bacterial SSU rRNA". It matches the Rfam family "Bacterial small subunit ribosomal RNA", at positions 355 to 849 of the family's 1533-position model. The record is from RNAcentral. Lineage: Bacteria; Bacillati; Bacillota.